RNAcentral lists this ribosomal RNA (253 nucleotides) under uncultured bacterium. Its description in RNAcentral is "partial 16S ribosomal RNA". It matches the Rfam family "Bacterial small subunit ribosomal RNA", at positions 524 to 776 of the family's 1533-position model. The record is from RNAcentral.
UACGAAGGGGGCUAGCGUUGCUCGGAAUCACUGGGCGUAAAGGGCGCGUAGGCGGAUUUGCAAGUCCGGGGUGAAAUCCCACAGCUCAACCGUGGAACUGCUCGGUAUACUGCCUGUCUUGUGCAACCUAGGGGCGAGCGGAACAGAUGGUGGAGCGGUGAAAUGCGUAGAUAUCAUCUGGAACGCCAAUGGUGAAAACAGCUCGCUGGGGGUUUGCAGACGCUGAGACACGAAAGCCAGGGGAGCGAACGGG